GACGAACGCUGGCGGCGUGCUUAACACAUGCAAGUCGAACGGAAAGGCCCUGCUUUUGUGGGGUGCUCGAGUGGCGAACGGGUGAGUAACACGUGAGUAACCUGCCCUUGACUUUGGGAUAACUUCAGGAAACUGGGGCUAAUACCGGAUAGGAGCUCCUGCUGCAUGGUGGGGGUUGGAAAGUUUCGGCGGUUGGGGAUGGACUCGCGGGUUAUCAGCUUGUUGGUGGGGUUGUGGCUUACCAAGGCUUUGACGGGUAGCCGGCCUGGGGGGGGGACCGGCCUCGUUGGGACUGAGAUACGGCCCAGACUCCUACGGGCGGCAGCAGUGGGGAAUAUUGCACAGUGGGCGGAAGCCUGAUGCAGCAACGCCGCGUGCGGGAUGAAGGCCUUCGUGUUGUAAACCUCUUUCGCCUGUGACGAAGCGUGAGUGACGGUAAUGGGUAAAGAAGCACCGGCUAACUACGUG
RNAcentral lists this ribosomal RNA (468 nucleotides) under uncultured bacterium. RNAcentral describes it as "partial 16S ribosomal RNA". It matches the Rfam family "Bacterial small subunit ribosomal RNA", at positions 28 to 507 of the family's 1533-position model. The record is from RNAcentral.